AUUUAGGCCGGCUCUUGAGGAGAAAAUUGCAAUAAUAAUCAGUGAUUGCAACACGUUUUAGAAAAAUGAGAGAUUGAAAAAUAGAUUUACUGUGUUCACCAACAGAUUCACUGAAACCUAAGAGACAGUCCUGGAGUGUGGUCUAGCGAAGAAGAUGAUUCACUCGCAGAUAAUUUAGAAUGUUCCGUGGUUUUUGCUCUGAUGGAGUGUGAGGAGAUGAGAUGGGGAGCAUUAACUAUUGGAAGGAUCCAUUUUAAGGGCAUAUUAUAUCAGGAUCUAGAUAGAUAUCAGAGCAUCUUGGGAGAAAUAGGAAACAGGUGCAGAAACAGGGUUUCUCCUGCUGUGGCCUCAGAGCUGUUGGUUUUCUUCUGCCUCGUCCACUUCUCCAGGCAGAAGUACAUCAGCGGUUGAUUUCCCCAGAGCAAGAAAAGAAGCAGUAAAAGAUUUGAAGUGAUACGUGGUAGUGAUACAGGGAAACGUGCCUCGAAGCUGCAGAACUGUGGGCUGGUGGGGACACCGCUUCAUGACCAGUCACCAGUAAGAAAGGAGAAACAUGUUCCUGUAAAACAAAGUGCUUGCUCCACGGGUUAACCCUGGCAGCCUCUGGUGAAACCCCUUUAUUUAAAUAACCUUCCCUAAGCACCUGGUGGCUCUGUUGCUACAGGAAUCACUAGAAACUCCAUAGGAUGUAGGAAAACAUGACCUCCUUGAAAUUAGAGCAAAUGGUCACAAGAAGUCAUCUGGACGAGAAGAAAUGAUGGGUGCCUAAUAUGCCCUCUGAGACAAGUGGAAGUUGGAGGCACCAGACCCAGGCAGAGGUUCCAGGAUGCCAGGUCACAUUCGAGGUCUGGGAGGAGUAGUACCAGCUACAGAGCA
Neofelis nebulosa (Clouded leopard) is the source of this 876-nucleotide long non-coding RNA. RefSeq lists it as uncharacterized. The record is from RefSeq and is a predicted model, not a curated record. NCBI's taxonomy places the organism in Eukaryota, Metazoa, Chordata, Mammalia, Carnivora, Felidae. The transcript has 5 exons.